This 274-nucleotide ribosomal RNA is filed under the name uncultured bacterium. RNAcentral describes it as "partial 16S ribosomal RNA". It matches the Rfam family "Bacterial small subunit ribosomal RNA", at positions 523 to 796 of the family's 1533-position model. The record is from RNAcentral.
AUACGGAGGGGACAAGCGUUGUUCGGAAUUACUGGGCGUAAAGCGCGUGCAGGCGGUUUGGUAAGUCAGAUGUGAAAGCCCUGGGCUCAACCCGGGAAGUGCAUUUGAAACUGCCUUUCUUGAGUAUGGGAGAGGAGAGUGGAAUUCCCAGUGUAGAGGUGAAAUUCGUAGAUAUUGGGAGGAACACCCGUGGCGAAGGCGACUCUCUGGACCAAUACUGACGCUGAGACGCGAAAGCGUGGGGAGCAAACAGGAUUAGAAACCCCAGUAGUCC